Molecule: ribosomal RNA, 500 nt
Filed under: uncultured bacterium
Lineage: Bacteria
Description: partial 16S ribosomal RNA
Rfam family: Bacterial small subunit ribosomal RNA
Source: RNAcentral
AUUGAACGCUGGCGGCAGGCCUAACACAUGCAAGUCGAGCGGUUGAAGGGAGCUUGCUCCCUGAUUCAGCGGCGGACGGGUGAGUAAUGCCUAGGAAUCUGCCUAUUAGUGGGGGACAACGUUUCGAAAGGAACGCUAAUACCGCAUACGUCCUACGGGAGAAAGCAGGGGACCUUCGGGCCUUGCGCUAAUAGAUGAGCCUAGGUCGGAUUAGCUUGUUGGUGAGGUAAUGGCUCACCAAGGCGACGAUCCGUAACUGGUCUGAGAGGAUGAUCAGUCACACUGGGACUGAGACACGGUCCAGACUCCUACGGGAGGCAGCAGUGGGGAAUAUUGGGCAAUGGGCGAAAGCCUGAUCCAGCCAUGCCGCGUGUGUGAAGAAGGUCUUCGGAUUGUAAAGCACUUUAAGUUGGGAGGAAGGGUUGUAGAUUAAUACUCUGCAAUUUUGACGUUACCGACAGAAUAAGCACCGGCUAACUCUGUGCCAGCCGCCGCCGUAA